UCUUUCUCUUCUUUCCUUUCUCUUUCUCGGUUGUUUUCCUCUCUAACUCUCUCUCACACACUCUGUACUAUAGAUUACUUAAUUGCUUAGCGAUGGCAAAUGGAGAAUGAUUUGGGCGUCGUUAAGACUUAAAGCACAGAGAUUAAGCCGGAUCUAGGAUGGGUUUCCAUACCAGAUUUUGUCGACAUCAAGGAAUUGGGAUUUUCUGUGCAGAUGUUGCACGAGUCUUUUGCUGAAUCAUUUGGGGGAAAAUGGCUUGGGGCUAAGGAAGAUGUUGCUUGUAGGAUUAAGGAGUCUUUCUGCUACUUAACCUUUCUCACUCCCGGUAUAGAAGGUGAUGAACAGAGUAGGCUUUCAGAUGAAUCAAUUAAGCGGGGAAUUAGUGAAUAAAUUGACUGGACUUGCAGCAAGUAAUUUAUGGAUUGUAUCUAGGGAAAUUAUUUAUUUUUCAUUACAGCCUGUCACGGAGACCUGGCUUUCGGGAUGUAUGCAUGGGAUAAGGUUUUUUACUCAUCAUCAAUGCAAAAUCAUUUAAUCCCCAGUCGAUGGAUUUGAUAUGGACAUAUUGCAAUUAGCGGAGAGCGCGGAUAGAAACGGUGAGCUUAUGGUUCCACCUUCAGCUAUAAAUGCGGCUUACAUUUCCUGCGUCUGCAACUCGAGUUAAGGUUAGCAUCAAUCAUGCUUCAUGGUUAUAUGUUCUGUGAUGCUACUCUAGAUGUGUUGAUGAUAAUUUAUCUAUUUUUGUUGGAUACUGAGUGGUUUGAGGCAGUACGCCCUGUCCUAAGAGAGAUGGCUCUUGCUGGUCUUGUUCACCUGGAUGCAAAGCAAGAAGCAAGUUACCCAACAUAUAUUUACUUUGUUGCUCAAAGUUGUAGGAAAGAGUGCUCCUGAAUUAUCUAAAGAAGCUGCUGGUGUUUGCUUAUGGUCAUUGAGUCAAAACACAUAUAUUUACAAAUAAUGAAAUACAUCAUCCCACGGCUUGCAAAUUUCUAUGCUAAUUCCUGGUUCUAUCAGAUAUCUAAGGAAAAACUUCCUGUGCAUAAAAGAUUUAAUGUUUGAACGCAGGGAUUACAUGGAGACUCAAAUGUUGCACACCCACCAUCCGAGCGGUCAUAUGUAGUGUACUUUUGAUUUAUUAAUGCAUGAUGUAACCUUUAGAUAGAAUUACACUGAUAGAAGUAGGUUGUUCAUUAUAUUUUCCUAGUGUAUCAACCUUGUAAUUUAGUGAAUGGUUGCAUAAAUUCACUGGAUAUGAAUAUGAAUAUAUGGAUGUAAUUGUAAUUUCACAAACAAGAAUGAUUAUAAAUUUGCAGUUUCAUAGUUCGAAUUUGA
Papaver somniferum (opium poppy) is the source of this 1332-nucleotide long non-coding RNA. RefSeq lists it as uncharacterized. The record is from RefSeq and is a predicted model, not a curated record. The transcript is spliced from 8 exons. NCBI's taxonomy places the organism in Eukaryota, Viridiplantae, Streptophyta, Magnoliopsida, Ranunculales, Papaveraceae.